UUAUAGAGUUUUCUAAACUCCCAACCCAUGUGAACUUACCUUUUGUUGCCUCGGCAGAGGUUACCUGGUACCUGGAGACAGGUUACCCUGAGCAACUGCCGGUGGACUACUAAACUCUUGUUAUUUUAUGUAAUCUGAGCGUCUUAUUUUAAUAAGUCAAAACUUUCAACAACGGAUCUCUUGGUUCUGGCAUCGAUGAAGAACGCAGCGAAAUGCGAUAAGUAAUGUGAAUUGCAGAAUUCAGUGAAUCAUCGAAUCUUUGAACGCACAUUGCGCCCAUUAGUAUUCUAGUGGGCAUGCCUGUUCGAGCGUCAUUUCAACCCUUAAGCCUAGCUUAGUGUUGGGAAUUUACAGUUAUGUAAUUCCUGAAAUACAACGGCGGAUCUGUGGUAUCCUCUGAGCGUAGUAAAUUAUUUCUCGCUUUUGUCAGGUGCUGCAGCUCCCAGCCGCUAAACCCCCAAUUUUUUGUGGUU
RNAcentral lists this ribosomal RNA (473 nucleotides) under Pseudopestalotiopsis theae. RNAcentral describes it as "eukaryotic LSU rRNA". The stretch from base 161 to 314 matches the Rfam family "5.8S ribosomal RNA". The record is from RNAcentral. Lineage: Eukaryota; Fungi; Ascomycota; Sordariomycetes; Amphisphaeriales; Sporocadaceae.